Molecule: non-coding RNA, 6700 nt
Organism: Rattus norvegicus (Norway rat)
Lineage: Eukaryota; Metazoa; Chordata; Mammalia; Rodentia; Muridae
Source: RefSeq, a predicted model, not a curated record
AGUAAGAUGUCUUCUUAGCACUCUGACCCUCUAGAGAUACACAGGGAACUAUGGAAACUUCCUAGUGACCCAGUUUACUAUGAGGAGGUUCUUGAACUCAGCCUAGAUGGGAUUAGGAAGGAAGGAAGGGAAUUUGUGUCUUCUGAUUUUGAUUGUAGGAUAUGGGUGUUUCUCUCUGCUUGCUAAACCUUAAGUUGGUUAUCUAUACAUCUAUCGUGUUAUAUAUUCUUUUUAAUUGAAGGGAAGUCUAUGCUGAACUAGUCAGUAGAGUCUAGUAGUCGCUGCUGUAUUUUCGAAGCUUGGAAUUGGUGAUCAAGACCAGGCUGUGUUAGUCAGUAUGAACAAGGUCAUGCUGAAGUAACACACAACACUGGGAAUUUCUGGCUUAAGACAACCAAAGCUUAUUUCUUGUUGGCGUUACACAUGUUUCACAGCUUGCCUGUGGGUUCUACUGGGCCUUGUUACCAAGGGACUCAAGCCAAUAGAGACCUUCUUUCAAUGUGUGCUUCUACAGCUAGACAUCAGCACGUAGAGGCCACAGCAAGGCAUGCAGCAUUCUUUAAAGCUUCCAGGCAAAAGUGAUAUGUCACUUCCACUCAUAUUUCAUUAGCUGAAAUGAGACACAUGGCAAUUCUCAAUGUCAACAAGGCAGGACAAAGCUGUCCUGCUAUGUCCAGAAGGAGGGCUCAGCUACUUAUGAACAGCAGCACACAGCACAGUCUCUCAUUUGGAGCAUGGUUCUCUCAUUAGACUGGGAGAUGCAGGAGUCUAGCCUAAAAGAAUGGCCCCCAAGUCCACAAACCAGGGCUGAUAUUGGCCUGCCCAUAAUCACCUGAAAUUGGUCUGGAAAGGUUUCAAAGAAUUAAGGUUUAAUUUUUUAUUUUGCUUACUUAUUUUUUUUUUUUUGAGGUUUAGACAUCUAAUCGCGUGUAUGCAUGUGACUGUUGGAAGGGAGGUUUUUUGCAUGCUCAUGGAAUGCCUGCAGAGACUUGAAGAGGAGCUGAAGUAAAAGAAAAUGGUAACUGCCCAGCGUGGGUGCUAGGACCUGACCUUAGGUCCACUGCAAGAGCAGCGCACUCUUAACCACUGAGCCAUCUCUUUUGCCCCCUUCAAGCUGGGUUUUUAAGAGAAGGACAAGCUUGGCAGAAGGACCUAGUGAGGCCUACCCAGAACCUCUGUUCACACGGAGAGCAUGAGAUGGUGAGGUUAAAGCAUCCUACAGAUGUAGUGAGGCUGGACCUCUAUGCACCCACCUGUGUGGAUCAAAGUCUGCAAAGGUAUUAACCAAAGUCCAAAUGGCUUGUAGUGCUACCUGCUUGAGUGUCUCCUUGGAUGUUUCUUGAAUUGUAUACCUUAGCAGAGAUGACCACAUGCAUACGAACCCUAUGUUUGGACACUCCAUACUUGAUAUCAUUGUGUUGAAUUUGUGAGAAGAGGUUUUGGGGAAAGCAGCCCCACAGUGGUUGAUUAAAAUGCGGUAUGUUCAUAGAGAAAGUUGAUGGACUUUACUUUUGCCUUAGGAAGGCUCUCUGGGGCACUCCAGGUUCAUGGUUGGAGAUAGCAAUGUUUCAGUGCCUUCCCAGCUUUACUUUGUGGAAAUGCCAUCCCCAGGAGCAGCAUAGGCAGUCAGCCUGGUCAGCAGACAACCUGGGGCUGGGGCUGGGGCUGGGCUAAACAGUAGCAGCAUACCAGAGUGGGCCCAAGAGCUCUGCAGCAUAAAUCACUCUGAAGUUUACAUCUGGCGCAGCUCUUCCCUGUGGUGUCUUACAGCAGGGCUUCAUUAUUGUGGCUGACGUGUGGAGGAUAACUCAGUUCUCACAGCAAGGCUGUGGCUUAGGGUGGGGAGCUCUGCUGACCAGGGGCUGUAGUCUAUUUUGUUCUCUGUCCCUGCCCAGAGUCACCGCCUCCAUAUCCUCAUCCUGGAGUAGACUGUGCCUAAGCACACCCCUCGCCUGUAUGUAACUUUCCACAUCCUGGAAUGUAGCUGUCCCCAUCCUGGUCCUAUUGUCACACACCCCACCCCCUGCUCAGUUUCAGAAGAAGGCAGGUCCUCAUUAGUCAGUGUGAAUAUAGCCUUCUUCUAUUGCCUUAUCCUAAGAGGACUAUGGAGUGCGGAGGGGGGAGCAGGAGGAGGGUGUGGCUGGGAUAGAAGGCAACCUUUGUGACACACAAGAACUUAAAGUCUAUCCAAAGAGACUUUAUACUCAGAAGCUGCAUAGCAGGCCAGAAAGUACCCUUUACUGGUCACAAUCUCCAAAGCCAUGACAGUGAAAGGCAGUAGGGAAGAGCUCCCAACCAGAGCACUUGAAUUAGGUGGGGAAGGAUGGACACAAAUAACCCAAGACUGGAGCUGUGGGACGUAUUCCAGGUCAGGAGCAGAGGGAGGCCAGCCUAGGCAUUUCCAGGGGUGCAGAGCUGCGUGCGUACCCGGCUCAGGGGACAGCCUAUUCAGGGACUUUUGGAUGCAGGACGGAUCGAGGUAGCGGGGAAGAGCUGCCAGAGGCCUUCAGGGCAAGUGAUGGGCACACCGGUGUUCCAGAUGGCACAAGGGGGACAGCGGUCCUGCAUGAGCCAAGAAGUCAGCUUCCUAGAGCAAGUCCUAUACCCAGAACAUCCUGAAUAAUUCACAAGACCAUCCCUGCCCUGCCCCACCCUGCCCCGCCCCACCCCACCCUGCAGUUUGAGCAGUCCCCAGUGAACCCUAGCUGCACCUUUUCUAGCAGUCACCUGAGUCAAAAGCCACAGGACCACCAGUGGGGCUGCAAGACUCCCUGUUUACUUGCAGCUCAGUGGGAGCUGUGGCUGUCUGAUUGCCUUCACUAGAUGCUCAUUUUCCCUGCUGCUCCGUCAGGCUUAGCCCCAUUAUCCUCAUUAGUCUCUGGCUGCACUGCACUCUCCUGGUACCCUCCCAGAGAACCCUCUCCCUUGGACCAGUGGGAGGAAGCGCCCACCCUCAUUGGAUUCCUUCUGUCCUGGUCGGGCAGACAUUCCAUAUGGGAAGUAUAAGUACCUCUCAGGUCAAGUCCUGGGUCCUAAAGCCAGACAGGGUUUGACUUUUCUGAGACUGCCUGAGGGAUCAGGAUUCCUCAAGCAGAGGACUAGUGACAACCACCAAGUGCCCAGAAUAGGAUUCCAUCCCAUACACAGUCUUCACUAGGAUCCCAGUGGUGGGUACAGGAGGUGAGCCACACCCUGUGUCUGUGAGCUGUUCCUUCUACAGACGUAAUGGGCGUGCACCAACCAUUCCAUACCCUUCAUCCCCACCGCUUGGGGCCAGCAGCCUUUCUUGGGUACCUGGGGUUAGAGGUUUCCUAUGUGCUACUGUACUACAAAGCUAAUUGGUCCAGACAGGGCUGUGACCUGGCCUUAAGCAUAAUUGCUCAAUAAGCGCUCUGCUGGCCGUGGGUGUUCUUAUUUCUGAGGUUGUCCUUUUGCAAUAGGCCCUCCCUUGUAGCUUUAGAGGAAAAGGCCUUACGACUGCCUGAGGCUCAGAAUAGUAAGACAGUUCCACUCUUCCCGUGACAAGUCCCUUAGCAUUCACAAGCCCUGCUGCCUGCUGGGGUUUGCCUGCUGCAGAGUCCAGCUCCCACUGGUGACCACAGCACAGCCUCCCCCUACUCUUGCCUCUUGCUGCAGCACAGAGCUGACUGGGUAAGCCCUCACUGCCCUGUACCCAGCCCUGCACCCCCCUCAUUAGUAUGCUGUAUCUCUCGAUGGUAUAAAUAGCUAAUCUUUGCCUUACACAGGAAUGAAUAGGAAAUCAUUAGGCAACCAGCUCCUGCACCAGGUCUAAACUCUGCCGCUUCAACACAGGCCCUCGCUCUUCACCACCUCUACCUGACCAAAGAGCACAGAUGAGUUUGUCUGCUUCUUCUGUCACCUGAUAACACAGAGUGACAUUUUUCCCUGGAGGGAUAUUUUUUGGCCUUCUGGACACUGUCACAAUGUUGUAUUGUAUCCCCUAAAUCAGCAACAAUUCAGAGAGACCAGGGCCUUGGGGCAAACGAGUGAGCAGACUAGCAACAGAUUUGAAGUGUUGGGGCCAUUUUGAGGCAGACUUCUUAUUUCUUGUGGUCCACAGUGUUCUGACUCUGUUCUCAUUCUUGGUCUUGGGAAAGGUCAAGGCUGGCACAGUCCUCAAAGAUGAUCUAGCCCUAACCUAACCAGCUUGCCUUCACCUGCCACAGACAAGCGCUUUAGGACUGUGGGAAUCACACGACUUGCCCAGGUGACUGCAGAAGCUAAUGAGUAGGAGACCUAGAUCUCACAGCACACUCUGUGUCCUUCCGGCCACCCGCCCUGACUAGUUCCUCAGAGGGACUUCUCUUGCCCUGUUUGUUUUCCUAACACCCCACUUUUGUCCCAAGGCCCCCAUCUUGUCACUGCCUAUACAGUGAGCUGCCAAAGGGCACAGAAGGAGGCAAUGUCAGCAGCAAAAGCACGAUGAAAAGAGAAGCCAUUCAUCAAUGUGCCGUUGUGCUGAGCCAGCUAACCCCCCACUUAAAACCUCCCCAUGUGCAUAAAUAUUAAUACCUUAAGGGAGAAGGUGGAAUAUGAGCCACGGAGUCUCGGUCAGGCUGGUCCAAUUCCUAGCAUAUUUUUAUGGUAUUUGACAUAUCGUAAAAGCAGCAGCCAGCUCCCACUCAAACCCCAUGACCAUCUGAUUCUCAUCUUUAUCAGCUGCUUCCUGUACACACACUUUCCUCUCGUGUUUCAGUUGAUAUCUACUUAUUCUGCAUGAAUAUUUUUUUCCUUUCUAGACAAAAUCCCUAAGGUCUGAGGGUAUCCCUGGGGCUGUAUGGACACUCAGAGUGGAGUGAUUUCCAUGGGAUCCACUUGGCCUUGGGAUGAAGGCUGGAACUGGAGGACCAGGCGUGUUAAAGCCUUUGGCCUUCUCUGGUCAACACAGACUAGCCUUUCCAUCAGUUUUCAUGGCCUGAGAUGUACUAACUUACAUCAGAGGACUCCAUGUCUGUCGUUUUAGAGUUUUGUUCCACUGAUGCUCUGAACUUGACAUAGCCUAGACAUCACCAGUGGGCAGCUUUGAGAAUGGUUUCUAAGAUCUAUUGUAUAUUGUCAACUUAAGACUCAAGGUGAUGGGUAUGGAGGUGAGCUCGGGAGAAGCAAGAGGACAAACCUAGAUGGCUAGAAUGUAUGGAGUCACGAUUGCUGGGUUAGUGAUGACCCCUGGGGCUCUCAGCCUUUUGAGGUAAUUCUCACCACCUGCUAGAAAGUCCUCAGUUUCCAUGUACAAUGAGCAGCCCUAUCAGGUUACAGGGUGAGUGGUAGGAGUCAUCCCGGGUGAGCUGACCUUCUUUUGGUCUGCUUCUCUGAAGCUGGCUAGGAGAAAAAUCUCCCAAGAUACUUGCCUCUGUCUGGAAUGGCAGCCUGUAUACUUACAGCCCCCCAGUUCCCAUCAUUGGGAAUGUCAUUCUCUCUUUUCAGUGACCCAGUCAGUGUGUUCCAGCCCAGCUCCACACACCCUUGCCACACAAAGUGAGUGGCAGUGUCACCUUGAGGGUGACAUGGGAAUGGUAUUUACUCUACCAAAGCUUAGUGGUGCCCCAGCUGCCUGCCAAGCCUCUCAGUAAGACCACACCCACAAUCCUGUUCCCCCCUUCCCGUUUGCUUCCCCAGUUCCAGGCUUCACGGUCAAACACAUAAACAAACACGACCCCUCUUUGUUGUUUGAUCUUUUUUUUUUUUUUUUUUUUUGGAGCUGAGGACUGAACCCAGGACUUUGUGCUGCUAGGCAAGCGCUCUACCGCUGAGCUAAAUCCCCAACAAGACCCCUCUUUAAACUUCUGAGGGUAACUGAGCUUUCUCUUCCCACCCUCAGUUUUAGCCUUACCUUCCCAUAUCCAACCCAAACCUCACGGUCUAAAAUGAGGUUGUUACCCAUUGCCUUACCCUAUUCCGUGCAUCCUCCCCAGGAGACGUCUGUGCUUUCGAGUGACAUUAAUUUCCUCUUGGUACCUAAGUACUGUGGACUCUUGCAGAGCCACUUGCCUGCACGUGGCCCAGGGGCCCCUGUUGGGAAGAUGAGUUCAACUGUACCUGAGACUGCAGGCAGGGGACCUACUCCAUCUCAGCCCCUCCAUGUUACUGGUGGCUGCUGGAAGUCAGCUAACUCUUCUUUCUCAGCGUGGGGUGGGGGGUAAGAAGAGACCUAAUGAGGUCUUUCCUGGAGAAGCAGCAAGGCUAUGAGGAAACCACAAAUAUGGGGUGGGGGGUACUGACCCCCAGAAAUAGGCAGACUUACCAGAGAGAACCAAAGAACCUACCAAGGGAGGGGUGAAGAGUCUCUCACCUUUGGCCUGGCACUUACAGGCCUUGUUAGUUCAUGGCCUGUGCUUACUUUCUUUUUUUUUUUUUUUUUUUUUUUGGUUCUUUUUUUCGGAGCUGGGGACCGAACCCAGGGCCCUGCGCUUCCUACGUAAGCGCUCUACCACUGAGCUAAAUCCCCAGCCCCUGUGCUUACUUUCUUAUGGUCACCCUGGCCCUCAGAGCUCCUUUUAACUUAGAGGACCAGGUAACCCCCAGGGCUACUGGGAAAACCCAAAGAAGGGCUGGGCUCUACACCUGGGCAGUUGCGAAGACAGAACGUGUGUUAGUAGCCAGGAUCAAAGAGAAACCUAAAGGGGACAAUUCAGAAGCCAGUGGAGGUGGACACAGAUGGCUGCCCCCAGCCACCCCAGCA